CCUACGGGUGGCUGCAGUGGGGAAUAUUGCACAAUGGGGGAAACCCUGAUGCAGCGACGCCGCGUGAGUGAAGAAGUAUUUCGGUAUGUAAAGCUCUAUCAGCAGGGAAGAAAAAAGACGGUAUCUGAGUAAGAAGCCCCGGCCAACUACGUGCCAGCAGCCGCGGUAAUACGUAGGGGGCAGGCGUUAUCCGGAUUUACUGGGUGAAAAGGGUGCGUAGACGGUGUGCAAAGUCUGGGGUGAAAUGCCGGAGCUUAACUGCGGAACUGCUUUGGAAACGGGCGAACUAGGGUGCGGGAGGGGUAAGCGGAAUUCCUGGGUUAGCGGUGAA
This 331-nucleotide ribosomal RNA is filed under the name uncultured bacterium. RNAcentral's name for it is "partial 16S ribosomal RNA". It matches the Rfam family "Bacterial small subunit ribosomal RNA", at positions 338 to 685 of the family's 1533-position model. The record is from RNAcentral.